ACUUUGUUGUCGGUGAAUAGAUCGUUGGAACAACUGAAGAAAACAAAAAAAAAACACCAACAAACCAACUAUAAAAAUCCCAUGCAGAAGAAAAACAGCCUUUGGUCGAGAAGGCACAUACACAUUUCGCCCAGUCAUCGAAACAUGAUUAGAUUCGACUAUGACUGCCGAUUGAACUCGACGCCAUCGUCAUCAUUAUCAGAGCUAGGUUUGCGGUCCUUGGAAGGGUGCCCAAGAGAAACCGUCGUCGUGGUGGACCAAGCAAGAGCGCGGUAGGGGUGGAUACGGUUACCAUUCCGACCAGCCAGUCAGCCCCGCGUAUGGAACAUCAGGGUGGAGUUUUUUCUAGAAACAUUACGAAUAAGCGCCCGACACAUCUCGUACCCUAUGCAGAUGCAGCGAAGGUCUUCUCCGCCCGCCGCGCGGGUAGCUCCGUAUGAUCUCUCACGGGAAAUCAAAAAUUGCAAUAAGAUUGCCGAAGGAAC
Molecule: long non-coding RNA, 485 nt
Organism: Toxorhynchites rutilus septentrionalis
Lineage: Eukaryota; Metazoa; Arthropoda; Insecta; Diptera; Culicidae
Exons: 3
Source: RefSeq, a predicted model, not a curated record